GAGACCUCAUGUCAGGCGGGGCUACCCGCUGAGUUUAAGCAUAUCAAUAAGCGGAGGAAAAG
This 62-nucleotide ribosomal RNA is filed under the name Lespedeza cyrtobotrya. RNAcentral describes it as "partial 26S ribosomal RNA". It matches the Rfam family "Eukaryotic large subunit ribosomal RNA", at positions 1 to 61 of the family's 3401-position model. The record is from RNAcentral. Lineage: Eukaryota; Viridiplantae; Streptophyta; Magnoliopsida; Fabales; Fabaceae.